This 246-nucleotide ribosomal RNA is filed under the name uncultured bacterium. Its description in RNAcentral is "partial 16S ribosomal RNA". It matches the Rfam family "Bacterial small subunit ribosomal RNA", at positions 87 to 334 of the family's 1533-position model. The record is from RNAcentral.
UAUGGCGACCGGCGCACGGGUGAGUAACACGUAUCCAACCUGCCGAUGACUCGGGGAUAGCCUUUCGAAAGAAAGAUUAAUACCCGAUGGCAUAGUUCUUCCGCAUGGUAGAACUAUUAAAGAAUUUCGGUCAUCGAUGGGGAUGCGUUCCAUUAGGUUGUUGGCGGGGUAACGGCCCACCAAGCCUUCGAUGGAUAGGGGUUCUGAGAGGAAGGUCCCCCACAUCGGAACUGAGACACGGUCCAA